This 633-nucleotide ribosomal RNA is filed under the name Stenotrophomonas sp. RMN-Slr-24. RNAcentral's name for it is "bacterial SSU rRNA". It matches the Rfam family "Bacterial small subunit ribosomal RNA", at positions 73 to 699 of the family's 1533-position model. The record is from RNAcentral. Lineage: Bacteria; Pseudomonadati; Pseudomonadota; Gammaproteobacteria; Lysobacterales; Lysobacteraceae.
UAAGAGCUUGCUCUUAUGGGUGGCGAGUGGCGGACGGGUGAGGAAUACAUCGGAAUCUACCUUUUCGUGGGGGAUAACGUAGGGAAACUUACGCUAAUACCGCAUACGACCUUCGGGUGAAAGCAGGGGACCUUCGGGCCUUGCGCGGAUAGAUGAGCCGAUGUCGGAUUAGCUAGUUGGCGGGGUAAAGGCCCACCAAGGCGACGAUCCGUAGCUGGUCUGAGAGGAUGAUCAGCCACACUGGAACUGAGCACGGUCCAGACUCCUACGGGAGGCAGCAGUGGGGAAUAUUGGACAAUGGGCGCAAGCCUGAUCCAGCCAUACCGCGUGGGUGAAGAAGGCCUUCGGGUUGUAAAGCCCUUUUGUUGGGAAAGAAAAGCAGUCGGCUAAUACCCGGUUGUUCUGACGGUACCCAAAGAAUAAGCACCGGCUAACUUCGUGCCAGCAGCCGCGGUAAUACGAAGGGUGCAAGCGUUACUCGGAAUUACUGGGCGUAAAGCGUGCGUAGGUGGUUGUUUAAGUCUGUUGUGAAAGCCCUGGGCUCAACCUGGGAAUUGCAGUGGAUACUGGGCGACUAGAGUGUGGUAGAGGGUAGUGGAAUUCCCGGUGUAGCAGUGAAAUGCGUAGAGAUCG